CCUACGGGAGGCAGCAGUGGGGAAUAUUGGACAAUGGGGGGAACCCUGAUCCAGCAAUGCCGCGUGUGUGAAGAAGGCCUGCGGGUUGUAAAGCACUUUCAGUGGGGAGGAGGAUUGAUUGGUUAAGAGCUGAUUAAUUGGACGUUACCCACAAAAGCAGCACCGGCUAACUCCGUGCCAGCAGCCGCGGUAAUACGGAGGGUGCAAGCGUUAAUCGGAAUUACUGGGCGUAAAGGGUGCGUAGGUUGUUGUAUAAGUUAGUUGUGAAAUACCAGUGCUUAACAUUGGGGUGUCAACUAGUACUGUAUGACUUGAGUAAAGCAGAGGGUGG
Molecule: ribosomal RNA, 331 nt
Filed under: uncultured bacterium
Lineage: Bacteria
Description: bacterial SSU rRNA
Rfam family: Bacterial small subunit ribosomal RNA
Source: RNAcentral